AUUGAACGCUGGCGGAAUGCUUUACACAUGCAAGUCGAACGGCAGCACGGACUUCGGUCUGGUGGCGAGUGGCGAACGGGUGAGUAAUGUAUCGGAACGUGCCCAGUCGUGGGGGAUAACGUAGUGAAAAUUACGCUAAUACCGCAUACGAUCUAUGGAUGAAAGCGGGGGAUCGCAAGACCUCGCGCGAUUGGAGCGGCCGAUAUCAGAUUAGGUAGUUGGUGGGGUAAAGGCCCACCAAGCCAACGAUCUGUAGCUGGUCUGAGGGGACGACCAGCCACACUGGAACUGAGACACGGUCCAGACUCCUACGGGAGGCAGCAGUGGGGAAUUUUGGACAAUGGGCGAAAGCCUGAUCCAUCCAUUCCGCGUGCAGGAUGAAGGCCCUCGGGUUGUAAACUGCUUUUGUACAGAACGAAAAGGUUUCUACUAAUACUAGGAGCUCAUGACGGUACUGUAAGAAUAAGCACCGGCUAACUACGUGCCAGCCGCCGCCGCGG
Molecule: ribosomal RNA, 500 nt
Filed under: uncultured bacterium
Lineage: Bacteria
Description: partial 16S ribosomal RNA
Rfam family: Bacterial small subunit ribosomal RNA
Source: RNAcentral